AACGAGCGCUGGCGGCAGGCCUAACACAUGCAAGUCGAGCGAGGACUUCGGUCCUAGCGGCGGACGGGUGAGUAACGCGUGGGAACGUGCCCUUUGCUUCGGAAUAGCCCUGGGAAACUGGGAGUAAUACCGGAUGAGCCCUUUGGGGGAAAGAUUUAUCGGCGAAGGAUCGGCCCGCGUUGGAUUAGGUAGUUGGUGGGGUAAUGGCCUACCAAGCCGACGAUCCAUAGCUGGUUUGAGAGGAUGAUCAGCCACACUGGGACUGAGACACGGCCCAGACUCCUACGGGAGGCAGCAGUGGGGAAUCUUAGACAAUGGGGGAAACCCUGAUCGAGCCAUGCCGCGUGAGCGAUGAAGGCCUUAGGGUUGUAAAGCUCUUUCAGCUGGGAAGAUAAUGACGGUACCAGCAGAAGAAGCCCCGGCUAACUCCGUG
This 433-nucleotide ribosomal RNA is filed under the name uncultured bacterium. RNAcentral's name for it is "partial 16S ribosomal RNA". It matches the Rfam family "Bacterial small subunit ribosomal RNA", at positions 29 to 507 of the family's 1533-position model. The record is from RNAcentral.